ACCGCCACUACCACCACCACCAAUACCACCACCACCACCAUUGCAUUCAAACAUUAAACAUGUCUGAACAAGAUGGAAACUGUACAUCACGCACGCAUGCACACAUACACGCACGCACACGCUCACACGUUUACACACACACACAAGUGUGUGUGUGUGUGUGUGCGUGUGCGCAGAACAAUGUGUAUGUACAUGUCUCGAGUUUCAAUAUAAAGGACGCAGUUUUGAUAUUUCUGGCUUGAGUGCGGCUUGUUGAUGGUGGAGUGGUGUUACAGUACAGAACUAGUGGUGUAGUGUUUGUUUGGUGGUGAUGUGGUGUUGAUGCAGCAGGAAGGCACUGUUGUCUGGUGGAGCUCCGCUGGUAUAACAGCGAGAUCUGGUCGAUGGAGUGGGCAUAGCCGACCUGUUGGUGCAGUAGAGAGACUUGGUGAUGAAGCGGCGGUCUAGUGGUGUGGAGAAAGUCUGGUGGUGCUGUGGAGAACUUAUGGUAGUACAAUGAAAGUCGAGAGUUCUGGUGAUGGCAAUCUGCUAGUCCGGUGAAGACCUGGAGGUGCAAUGGAGAUAUCUGGAGGUGCAAUGGAGAGAUCUGGAGGUGCAAUGAAGAAGUCUGGAGGUGCAUUGGCGCAGUGGAAAGAUUUGCUGAAGCAAUACAGGCUGGUUGUGACAGCGACGAUAAUCUGAUGUAGCGAAGAGACCUAAUGUUGCAGUAGAGAGACUUGUUGCUCACUUAAAUACUCAGAGACAGAUGAAGAGACAAACAGACAGAGAAAAAGACAGAAAUUCGGUCGUCGGUUUUGUUCAGUCAAUUCCUCACGAAUUCAGUUCGAUCCAGUUUCAUCCAGUAUAGUCAUGUCCAGACACUGGCAACAGCAGCAAGAAGAAGAACAACAACAGAAACAUCUAUAACAAUAGAAAGAACCUGACGGUUACUAUGCGGCCGCUCUCCCGGCUAGAAAUAACAACUAAACUCCUUCCUGACAACACGGAACCAUCUUGCACCGCUUCCUGUCGGCCUUGACACAUUUCCUGUGUCCUUAUGUUUACAAGGGGGAGACAAGCACCUCUACCCUUGUGCUUGUCUCUUCCUUGUAAACAUAAAGAAAAAGGAAAUGUGUUAAGGCCGACAGGAAGCGGUGCAGCUUCCUAGGUCUAACCAACAGUAGUAUUAUUCCCUUCAGGGGACUGUCACAUUAAGUUGACAGCAUACAAUUACUUAAUAUGAUAUAACCCUCAAUGUAAAUGAGACGCACGGCUUAGUGGUUAGGGGUGUUGGACUCAUGAUCGUAAGAUUGUGGUUUCGAUUGUUAGACCGGGCGAUGCGUUGUGUUCUUGAGCAAAACACAUAAUUUCAUGUUGCUCCAGUCCACUCAGCCGGUAAAAGUGAGUAAUCAUGCGACGGACUGGCGUCCCGUCCAGGAAGGGAAUAUAUAUAUAUAUAUAUAUAUAUAUAUAUAUAUAUAUAUAUAUACACUAGAAAAACCGGGAAACCGGUCCCUUUGGUAUUUACAGGAGUAAUGUGGACUAGUAGCCAUUUUAGUAUGUAUUGCCACGGGGAUUUUUCAUCUUAACCACCUUUAUAUUUUCAUAUGAUAUAACCCUCAAAUUUAUUUCUAUAUUUACUGAGCUAUUUGUUAAAACGCUUUACAGAAAAGGAAACAAAAACAUUUUUAUCAUGUUUAUGAAAUAUCCACUUCUAUUAAUGAUAUAACAAUCCAAAGCAUUGAGAUGGCAGUAUCGUUAGCACGUGUGACAAACUGCUAAGCGGUAUUUACUUCAGCUCUUUGUGUUCUGAGCUCAAAAACCGCCGAGGUCAACUUUGCCUUUCACCCUUUAGAGAUCGAUAAGAUAAGAAACACCAUUUGAACACUGAAGUUGAUGUAAUCAACUACCCCAUUCCCUAAAAAAAUUCAGACUUUCUGUCUAUAGCAGAAAGAAAUUACACGUUUAACAUUGUAAGUUCAUUUUUAGAUGCUAUUCUCAUGAUUCGGGCAAUCGUAAAUGUUUUAUAGACGUUUCCCUAUUCUGUAUAAAACCACUUUAUAAACAAACCUUAUCACGAUCCGUCCACGAUAUUUCGUAAAUAUCUAUAAUAUAAUCGUAUUUGUUUGGCAGCUUACUUGAUGUGAGUUCAUAUGUUGAAACAGAACUAACUUUUGAAGAAACAUGAAAUUAUUUAAGAAUACUCACAUAGUCACUUGUGUUUUAUUUUGUAUCUUACAUUGUAUAUAUUUUGUAUUGAAAAUACUAUGCAAUUACUCUAAAUAAUAUAUCUGGCUCUGUAACACGUGCGCUUUAAAAACCGUAUAAAAGUGAAAGCGCUUGCACAAAAUAGUAUUCCAUCAGAUCUCUGUUAAACCGCCUUUUUAUUUAAAAAAAAUUCUUUUAUAUGAUAAAUUCCACGAAGUGCUGGGAAGAAUCCACCAAGUAAAGCGAGCGUGUGUUAUGAUACAUGAGUUUUUAAGUAGUGAAAAUCAUGUUUUGUACAAUAAGCGCAAAAUCCUAUUUCUAUGUAAGAUCUGAAUUUCACUUCCAUGUAUGAAUGAAACGACUAGCGUCAUUACCUUAGAAAUAAAAUUACCUUAGAAAUAAAA
Molecule: long non-coding RNA, 2591 nt
Organism: Octopus bimaculoides (California two-spot octopus)
Lineage: Eukaryota; Metazoa; Mollusca; Cephalopoda; Octopoda; Octopodidae
Source: RefSeq, a predicted model, not a curated record